This 1356-nucleotide ribosomal RNA is filed under the name uncultured Hyphomonas sp. RNAcentral's name for it is "bacterial SSU rRNA". It matches the Rfam family "Bacterial small subunit ribosomal RNA". The record is from RNAcentral. Lineage: Bacteria; Pseudomonadati; Pseudomonadota; Alphaproteobacteria; Hyphomonadales; Hyphomonadaceae.
UAACACAUGCAAGUCGAACGAUAUAGUGGCAGAUGGGUGAGUAACGCGUGGGAACGUACCUUUCACUACGGAAUAGCUCUUGGAAACGAGUGGUAAUACCGUAUACGCCCUUCGGGGGAAAGAUUUAUCGGUGAAAGAUCGGCCCGCGUUAGAUUAGCUAGUUGGUAGGGUAAUGGCCUACCAAGGCGACGAUCUAUAGCUGGUCUGAGAGGAUGAUCAGCCACACUGGGACUGAGACACGGCCCAGACUCCUACGGGAGGCAGCAGUGGGGAAUCUUGCACAAUGGGCGAAAGCCUGAUGCAGCCAUGCCGCGUGAAUGAUGAAGGCCUUAGGGUUGUAAAAUUCUUUCGCUAGGGAUGAUAAUGACAGUACCUAGUAAAGAAGCCCCGGCUAACUUCGUGCCAGCAGCCGCGGUAAUACGAAGGGGGCUAGCGUUGUUCGGAAUUACUGGGCGUAAGCGCACGUAGGCGGACUUUUAAGUCAGAUGUGAAAUCCCGGGGCUCAACCUCGGAACUGCAUUUGAAACUGGAAGUCUAGAGACCAGGAGAGGUUAGCAGAAUACCGAGUGUAGAGGUGAAAUUCGUAGAUAUUCGGUGGAACACCAGUGGCGAAGCCGGCUAACUGGACUGGUACUGACGCUGAGGUGCGAAAGUGUGGGGAGCAAACAGGAUUAGAUACCCUGGUUGUCCACACGGUAAACGAUGAGAGCUAGUUGUUGGCAGGCAUGCCUGUCGGUGACGCAGCUAACGCAUUAAGCUCUCCGCCGGGGGAGUACGGUCGCAAGAUUAAACUCAAAGAAAUUGACGGGGGCCCGCACAAGCGGUGGAGCAUGUGGUUUAAUUCGAAGCAACGCGCAGAACCUUACCUACCCUUGACAUACCGAUCGCGGUUUUCCAGAGAUGGAUUCCUUCAGUUAGGCUCGAUCGGAUACAGGUGCUGCAUGGCUGUCGUCAGCUCGUGUCCUGAGAUGUUGGGUUAAGUCCCCGCAACGAGCGCAACCCUCAUCGUUAGUCGCCAUCACGUUUGGGUGGGCACUCUAAGGAAACUGCCGGUGGUAAGCCGGAGGAAGGUGGGGAUGACGUCAAGUCCUCAUGGCCCUUACGGGUAGGGCUACACACGUGCUACAAUGGCAGUGACAAUGGGUUAAUCCCCAAAAACUGUCUCAGUUCGGAUUGUCGUCUGCAACUCGACGGCAUGAAGGUGGAAUCGCUAGUAAUCGUGGAUCAGCAUGCCACGGUGAAUACGUUCCCGGGCCUUGUACACACCGCCCGUCACAUCAUGGGAAUUGGUUCUACCCGAAGACGCUGUGCUAACUUCGGAGGCAGGCGGCCACGGUAGGAUCAGUGACUGGGAUG